GCGAACGGGUGAGUAACACGUGAGUAACCUGCCCUUGACUCUGGGAUAAGCCUGGGAAACUGGGUCUAAUACCGGAUACGACCAUCUGACGCAUGUCAUGGUGGUGGAAAGCUUUUGUGGUUUUGGAUGGACUCGCGGCCUAUCAGCUUGUUGGUGGGGUAAUGGCCUACCAAGGCGACGACGGGUAGCCGGCCUGAGAGGGUGACCGGCCACACUGGGACUGAGACACGGCCCAGACUCCUACGGGAGGCAGCAGUGGGGAAUAUUGCACAAUGGGCGCAAGCCUGAUGCAGCGACGCCGCGUGAGGGAUGACGGCCUUCGGGUUGUAAACCUCUUUCAGUAGGGAAGAAGCGAAAGUGACGGUACCUGCAGAAGAAGCGCCGGCUAACUACGUGCCAGCAGCCGCGGUAAUACGUAGGGCGCAAGCGUUAUCCGGAAUUAUUGGGCGUAAAGAGCUCGUAGGCGGUUUGUCGCGUCUGCUGUGAAAGACCGGGGCUCAACUCCGGUUCUGCAGUGGGUACGGGCAGACUAGAGUGCAGUAGGGGAGACUGGAAUUCCUGGUGUAGCGGUGAAAUGCGCAGAUAUCAGGAGGAACACCGAUGGCGAAGGCAGGUCUCUGGGCUGUAACUGACGCUGAGGAGCGAAAGCAUGGGGAGCGAACAGGAUUAGAUACCCUGGUAGUCCAUGCCGUAAACGUUGGGCACUAGGUGUGGGGGACAUUCCACGUUUUCCGCGCCGUAGCUAACGCAUUAAGUGCCCCGCCUGGGGAGUACGGCCGCAAGGCUAAAACUCAAAGGAAUUGACGGGGGCCCGCACAAGCGGCGGAGCAUGCGGAUUAAUUCGAUGCAACGCGAAGAACCUUACCAAGGCUUGACAUGAACCGGAAAGACCUGGAAACAGGUGCCCCGCUUGCGGUCGGUUUACAGGUGGUGCAUGGUUGUCGUCAGCUCGUGUCGUGAGAUGUUGGGUUAAGUCCCGCAACGAGCGCAACCCUCGUUCUAUGUUGCCAGCGCGUUAUGGCGGGGACUCAUAGGAGACUGCCGGGGUCAACUCGGAGGAAGGUGGGGACGACGUCAAAUCAUCAUGCCCCUUAUGUCUUGGGCUUCACGCAUGCUACAAUGGCCGGUACAAAGGGUUGCGAUACUGUGAGGUGGAGCUAAUCCCAAAAAGCCGGUCUCAGUUCGGAUUGGGGUCUGCAACUCGACCCCAUGAAGUCGGAGUCGCUAGUAAUCGCAGAUCAGCAACGCUGCGGUGAAUACGUUCCCGGGCCUUGUACACACCGCCCGUCAAGUC
This 1294-nucleotide ribosomal RNA is filed under the name Paenarthrobacter sp. Its description in RNAcentral is "bacterial SSU rRNA". It matches the Rfam family "Bacterial small subunit ribosomal RNA", at positions 98 to 1403 of the family's 1533-position model. Lineage: Bacteria; Bacillati; Actinomycetota; Actinomycetes; Micrococcales; Micrococcaceae. The record is from RNAcentral.